Molecule: ribosomal RNA, 410 nt
Filed under: uncultured bacterium
Lineage: Bacteria
Description: bacterial SSU rRNA
Rfam family: Bacterial small subunit ribosomal RNA
Source: RNAcentral
UUGCCAGCCGCCGCGGUAAUACGGAGGGUGCAAAGCGUUAUCCGGAUUCAUUGGGUUUAAAGGGUGCGCAGGCGGAUUAUUAAGUCAGUGGUGAAAUCCUCCCGCUUAACGGGAGAACUGCCAUUGAUACUGAUAAUCUGGAAUACGGUUGAAGUGGGCGGAAUGUAGCAUGUAGCGGUGAAAUGCAUAGAGAUGCUACAGAACACCGAUCGCGAAGGCAGCUCACUAAGCCGAUAUUGACGCUCAGGCACGAAAGCGUGGGGAGCGAACAGGAUUAGAUACCCUGGUAGUCCACGCCGUAAACGAUGAUGACUCGUUGUUGGCGACACACAGUCAGCGACUAAGCGAAAGCGAUAAGUUAUCCACCUGGGGAGUACGAUCGCAAGGUUGAAACUCAAAGGAAUUGACGG